RNAcentral lists this ribosomal RNA (447 nucleotides) under uncultured bacterium. Its description in RNAcentral is "bacterial SSU rRNA". It matches the Rfam family "Bacterial small subunit ribosomal RNA", at positions 355 to 825 of the family's 1533-position model. The record is from RNAcentral.
UGGGGAAUAUUGGACAAUGGGCGAAAGCCUGAUCCAGCAAUGCCGCGUGAGUGAUGAAGGCCUUAGGGUUGUAAAGCUCUUUUACCAGGGAUGAUAAUGACAGUACCUGGAGAAUAAGCUCCGGCUAACUCCGUGCCAGCAGCCGCGGUAAUACGGAGGGAGCUAGCGUUGUUCGGAAUUACUGGGCGUAAAGCGUACGUAGGCGGUGACUCAAGUCAGAGGUGAUAGCCUGGAGCUCAACUCCAGAACUGCCUUUGAAACUAGGUCGCUAGAAUCACGGAGAGGUGAGUGGAAUUCCGAGUGUAGAGGUGAAAUUCGUAGAUAUUCGGAAGAACACCAGUGGCGAAGGCGGCUCACUGGACGUGUAUUGACGCUGAGGUACGAAAGCGUGGGGAGCAAACAGGAUUAGAUACCCAUGUAGUCCCUGAGCGGGCUGGCAAGGCGCAU